RNAcentral lists this unclassified non-coding RNA (363 nucleotides) under Hevea brasiliensis (rubber tree). Lineage: Eukaryota; Viridiplantae; Streptophyta; Magnoliopsida; Malpighiales; Euphorbiaceae. The record is from RNAcentral.
CCUCACACCAUGGGCAGUAGAUAGACAGCAAGAAAGGAAGGCUUUUGUGGAGUUUUGAAGAAUUUCCAAGGUGGUAAGUUUGUGUUUUUUAUUAUUGUUUAAUUAAAGUUUGUAAGCAUGUUAUGAGUGUUUGAUUUAUGGAGAAAUUUUUGAGGUUUGAUGUUGAAUGGGGAUGUGUACUUUUGGCAGCCAUGGAAACACUUUGAAGGCAGUUUAUUUUUGCUUGUAAAUGGUGAAUUAAAGGAUUGAUUAAAUGUAUAUUGUGUAGGAAAUCAUUUGGGUAAUUAUACUUAGUAUAUGUAAAUGUGUAUUGAAAUUUGAAGCUUGGAAAUUAAUGGAAUGUAAAUGUAUCAUUGCGGCAGU